UAUUGUCCUAGAUUCUAGGCAUCCUUUUUAUGUUGCAAAUUUAUCUUUUUUAGCUUAUCUUUAAAGCCUUAAAGUCAGGAUGCGCUUUGCUCAUAUUCACUGUUCAAUAAAUGCACAUUGCUCGUUGAUGAAAAAGAACAGAGAUUUAGCAGUAACCAGCAAGCAGAAGAACUGACACAUCAUCACCAGGAACUUUCUGGCUCCCUGGAUUAAUAUGCAGUAGGUACAAUUCCAUAACAGAUUAAUUGCUACCAAUCAUGUAGAAGUUAAAAUACUCUCAGAAUUUAGAAGCUAUACUUGAAUCAUAAUGAAGUUUCUUAAUUUUGUGGCAAGCCUGUAGAUUGAGUGUCUACUAUUAUUUAGCUGGCCUUAUUUAUUUAGUGGUAAUCAUUUCCAGAGACUGCAGAACACUAAAUUGGAAUGGAUACAAUUCUAACCCGGAGUCCAUAUCCUACUAUUCAUUAUAAGUCGCUCAAGAUUAGGUAUGUACCCAAUUAUAGAUCAACCAUGAAAAUAAGUACUAGCCAGUUUUCAGAAUCUCAGAAUAUAACAACUCAGAUUUAAGAUGCUGCUUUUUUCUGUUUUCAUUGUGAUUGGUUUUCAUAGAAAGGCAAAUUUUAGGACUGUUUGCCACAUGCAGAUGCCUCUUUUCCUUUUACACUAGUCAUAAAGAAAAAAUGGAAAACGACUUAUCAGAAAGGAGUAGUUUCCUGCAAUUUCCAUUGAUAGCUAGCCACUUAAUUACACGAAGGUACAUCUAGGCAACGAAAUACAUACAGCCAUAAAAAAGGAGUAUAUGUUUCCCUAUAUAUUAAUAUAGAGAUAUUUCCAAAAUAUAUGAAGUGAAAAAGCCAGGUGCAGAUCAGUGUGCGUGAUAUGCUAUAAUCUGUAUAAAUAUAAAUAAAAAGGAAUAUGGGUGGACCUACAUGCAUGUGUAAAGGAUAUGUCAGGAAGAUUUUUCCAGUGACUUUAGAAGAGGUGAUUAAAACAAAAUGAGAGGGAAACUUUUCACCAAACACACUUUGUAUUUUUUAAAUUUUGAACCAUGUGAUGGUAUUAACCAUUAGAAAAUAAACACUUUAAAUUUUCAAAUGGAAACGCCAGAGAAGAAGCAAAAGAAUGAUUUUUUGAGAGUGAUGGAGUUGAUAAAAGUUAUCUAAACACAGUAGACUUUUAUCCAGCCUGUAAACAUAUGAGAAAGAUCUUUGAAGCUCCUCUUUUGGAUAUUGUUAACACUCACGAAUGCCUCAAUGUCAGGCUCAAGAAAUGUCAUUAGAGAUUUCACGAGAGGAAGUGGAGUAAAAUCUCGGGACUCCCUGUGGAAGAACAUGGAAGUAGUCACAUGUAAAGCUGAUGUGUUUGGUCCUGAGGUGUUCAGUCAGCUUGGAGUUUGAGCAUAUAUUCAAGGCUCAAUGCAGAGCUACCCAGAACUCAUCAACUCCCCCUUUCUUAAGACUGCACUUUGAUCCAAGUAUGUUGACUACUGCUAUGUAUCAGGCACUUUUUUGAUAUCUGAAAAUAACACAAAAUAAUACAGCAAACAACAAAUAAAAAUCCAUGUUUUCAGGAAGCUUACAGUGUUGUGGGUGGGAGAGGUAUAACAAUGAUAUGUAAGGAAAAUGUAUAUUAAAGAGUGCUGAGGAUUUAAAAAAAGCAAGGAUAGUGGAUAGGAAAUAUUGAAGAUGGAAUUGCAGUUUUACUAAGAUGGAGAGAAGGGCUUUUUGAGAAGGAAAUAUUUAAUCAAAGUCCUGAAGGAUGUGACAGUAAGCAAGCCAUGGAGAAAUCAAGCUAAAAGCAUUAGUAAUUGCAAAGACCUUGAUAUGAGAAAAUACUGGUAUACUCAACAGUCAGACCAGUAUGGUUGGAGCAGAGUGAGUCUGGGCAAGAGCAACAGAAAAUGAGGUCAGAAAAGUGAAGGGGAGAAAAGGUGAAGAUCAGAUAGGGCUUUGUAGUUUUUUGAAAAGAAUUUGGAUUUACUCUGAGAGAGAUGAACAGCAUUUGGAAGGUUUAGAACAAAGGAUUGAAGUGAUCCAUUUACAUUUUUUAAGGAUUAUGACUCUGAAUGCAAUGUAUAGAAUAGAAUGAAAGAGGUUGAAAGCAGAAGUAAGGAUGCCCCUGAGAAAAUGAAGUUGUCCAGGAUACAGAUGAUGGGUAUAUACUGGAAAGUGGAGAGCAAUAGAAUAGCUGAUGUAUUUUGAAGGUAGAUCCAGUAGAAUGUGUUGACUGUCAGAUGUGGAGAAUAAGAUAAAAUUAAGAGUCCAGAUUGUCAAAUAAGACUCAAGGAGAAUUACAGGUCUUACCCAGUAUCAAAUUUACUAAUAAUUCAUGGGUACAGAUAGUAGCUAAACACAAGGCAAGCAUUCUUCCCUUGGAGAGGUGUGAAACCAUCAGUGCAGAUCUCCAUAAAAUGAUCUUUUCGUGCAUAAGGACAUGCUCUGGUUCAAAUUUAACAUGAAAGAUUUAAAUAAUGUUUAGGAUGCAGUGCUUGCACAGGAGUCACUUCACUUAUGAAGCAUCUUCUUUUUAUAUCUCUUUAAUUACACGUGUGAUUUUUUUCAUGGAGCUUUGCCUUAUAAAUUCAUAAAUUCCAGGUUUGUUUUUGUUUUGUUAUUGUGAUUUUUUUCCACAUAAACAAUCUGGGAUAGUCCAGGAACAUCCUAAUAAAAAUCAUUCCAUAGGUAAAGACUUUCCCACGAGUAAAUAAUACUGUUUGAAUAAUUGUUGGGAUUGUCAUUGACAUGUCUACAAAGGUCAACUGGAUCAUAGCUUUCUUUGACACAUGGAUUAAGGUGACAAGAGAUUGCACACAGAUUGCAAGCCUGCUACUAACCCUUGUUCUCCUAGAGAGUCCCAGGAGUUCUCCUGGACAAGGACAGAGUUGUUAGCUAUGAUGAGGAAGAGAGUGAGAAGAGCAGUCACUAUGGAAUAAAGCUGUAAUAGCUCAAUUUUGCACAUUCUCACUUGAAGAUGUGAAUUAGGCAUUUAGAUAGAAAUGUCAGUUAGUCAAUUAACUACAUGAAUGUGGAAUUCAGGGAGAAAUGUAGAGUAUAGAUACAAAUUUGGGAAUCCUUGGCGGGUAUACAGUAAAGUCAUAAGAUGUAAUCAUCUGAGGAAUGAGAAUGGAUAGAAAAGCAAAACUUAAAAUAGGAACAUUAGAAUCACUAAAAGAGAGAUGGAAAAAUAUUGUUGAGAGCCUUGUGAUGAGCAACAUUAUCAAAUCUGUAUUUUUUUUAAAAAGUCAAUUCAGGAGUUCCCGUUGUGGCGCAGUGGUUAACGAAUCCAACUAGGAACCAUGAGGUUGCGGGUUCAGUCCCUGCCCUUGCUCAGUGGGUUAACGAUCCGGCGUUGCCGUGAGCUGUGGUGUAGGUUGCAGACGUGGCUCGGAUCCCGCGUUGCUGUGGCUCUGGUGUAGGCCAGUGGCUACAGCUCGGAUUCGACCCCUAGCCUGGGAACCUCCAUAUGCCGCGG
RNAcentral lists this long non-coding RNA (3468 nucleotides) under Sus scrofa (pig). Its description in RNAcentral is "lncRNA (ENSSSCG00000054356.1)". Lineage: Eukaryota; Metazoa; Chordata; Mammalia; Artiodactyla; Suidae. The record is from RNAcentral.